RNAcentral lists this long non-coding RNA (308 nucleotides) under Elaeis guineensis (African oil palm). Its description in RNAcentral is "long non-coding RNA (EGUI_LNC034086)". The record is from RNAcentral. Lineage: Eukaryota; Viridiplantae; Streptophyta; Magnoliopsida; Arecales; Arecaceae.
UAUCAAGCAUAGGUCGCUGUAGGCCAUAUGGGAUGGUUGUCCUCUUAACCAAGGAGUGUAGAGAUACUGGUAUGGCAUACAGGUAAGAUAUAAGGGUACAUCAUCAUUGAACGUGACCAACUCCAGAGUAUUCUGCUGUCGAGAAUAUCUCUGAUGGGAUAUAGGUAUAAGUGUUCUUUAGACCUGAGAUCGCCUUAGUGACUUGCAGGCAACUCACUGUGCUUUGGUACUGGACUAACUGAAUUUCUAAUUCAGUGACGGAAGGCUUCUGGGCACAGUCAAGUACUUGUAAAGUUAGAGUAUGAUCA